Molecule: long non-coding RNA, 1667 nt
Organism: Pecten maximus
Lineage: Eukaryota; Metazoa; Mollusca; Bivalvia; Pectinida; Pectinidae
Exons: 10
Source: RefSeq, a predicted model, not a curated record
CCCAAACGUCCAAUACUGCACGGAUUUUCGCAGAGCCAAGUCAGUAUUCCCGCCACCGUCAAACCCGAAGGACCUAUCGUUUCGGUCCAUGACGGGACGGAAGUCUGUCAAUGGUACUGGAUGGACAUUAGGCCCUGCCGUCCUGAGGCCAAUGUCAAAGCCAACUGACCCCAGACCAUCAGGACUGUCCACAGGCAAAAGGACAAGAUCCUGGUCAGGAUAGGUGGUACUCCUAGCUCUGGUUGGGUGAUCUGGUGCUGGUGGUAUCUGGAGCUCAAUAGAUUUAUUUCAGUUCAGCACAACUUACUUGUUGCCUUUUGCAGUAGUUUUUAAGCCAGGAAAUAGCAUUGAUGAGGUGCUAGUGCCUUUAUGGUUGCAUGUUAGGGAAAAUCAUGAUCCCCUCCAUGAUGGACCCUAAGGGGGGCAUGUGACUGUCUAGGUUCUAGUUACUUUAUCACUGAUAUUUCGGGGUUAAAUUCUGUUGUAAUCGGGGCAGGUAAGUGUAGUUGUUCUGCAAUAAGUCUCUUGUAGUAAAAGAUACUCUGGUGUUGGAAAGUCUGAUAGGGGUGAAGGGUCAACUUAUUCUGUCUGACAGAAAAGCGAGCCCCUCGGUCAAGGGAGUACCGGGGGACGUGCCUAGAGGUGGCAUCAGGAGCCCUGCCAGGUCUCGGAAAGCUGACUGUGCUCACACUAGCGAGAGCAGUGUAGAGCCAGUCAUCAAAAGGGCAUUUGUCAACAAGGCGAUAAAGACCCUAAGGAUGGACAGAGUGGCAGUAAUCUGUUUAUUCCAUAAAGCUGUGGUUGCCUGGAUCUAAGCCAUCAGGCUGAUGGAUAGGUCCAGAGCAAGCCCAAGUACCUGGAUGUGGUGCUGGAGCCCCUGUCCGGUCUCCGAAAGCUAACUGCUUUGCACACUUGAUAUUCAGUGUGGGGCAGUCCAAUAGGAUCAGGUCACCAAGAUCCUACGGGUGGGACAUAGUGGCAGGACUAUGUCUCCGUAGAGCAGGGCAUGUCCAUAUGGCAAGUAAGAUGUGCGAGAUCCACGCUUUGGCUGCAUCACAAGCAUGAGUGCCAUGUCCUUCAGGGGAAUGUCUAACGUCAGGACAUUCACCGGGUCGGGGUUUUAAAGCGAGCGUGAUCUAGCUCUGGAUAGAUGAAUUAGCAAUGGGGAUGUUUGGAAUCUCAAGAUGGUUCAUUCAUUUCCCAAUUCGUUCCGUCACUUCCUUCCCAAUGUUUGACUCCUGGUACAGACAUGAAGCUGGUACAAGUUAAGCAAUACAGCGUCAUGAUUGGAGCGCCAGGUCUGUGUGGUCCAGGCCUGGUAAUCCAAUGGACCACCAUGUGUCAGACUGUUAUUGCUUGUAAAUCUUGUAUUGGGUGAUUGUUUGUGUCUUGGGUUAAAUACUUGGGAAGGAAUGGACAGAUCUAGUUGAGACUUGAAUUAGUCAUCUUGUGAUUUCUGAUAUCUCUAUUGGUUUGAAGUCUAUGUGGAGUCAAGGUUGCGUAAACUUGAAGAAUCCUGGCUAUAAGGAUGGACUGCCAUGCCCCACCAAACCCCAGGUGUGUAUCACAACAUAAACGAUCAACACAAGGUCAAAAUCAAAAGUUUGUUUGCCCUCAACAGACUGACCCACAAAAACGGGCCAAUUUUUUUUUCAUUUCAAAUUUAA